GCUGGGUGCAGUGGCAUGUACUGUAGUCCCAACUACUCAGGAGGCUGAGGUGGGAGGAUCACUUGAGUCCAGGAGUUCUGGGCUGUAAUGCACUAUGCUGAUCGGGUGUCUGCACUAAGUUUGGCAUCAAUAUGGUGACCUCCCAGGAACCGGGGACCACCAUGUUGCCUAAGGAAGGGUGAACUGGCCCAGGUUGGAAACAGAGCAGGGCAAAACUCCCGUGCUGAUCAGUAGUGGGAUCACGCCUGUGAAUAGCCACUGCACUCCAGCCUGAGCAACAUAGUGAGACCCGAUCUCCA
This is an unclassified non-coding RNA of Callithrix jacchus (white-tufted-ear marmoset), 299 nucleotides long. It matches the Rfam family "Metazoan signal recognition particle RNA". Rfam says of the family: The signal recognition particle (SRP) is a universally conserved ribonucleoprotein. It is involved in the co-translational targeting of proteins to membranes. Lineage: Eukaryota; Metazoa; Chordata; Mammalia; Primates; Cebidae. The record is from Ensembl.